GGGGAAGGAUGAGAAGCUUCGACUAAGGUUCGACUCGAGCGCCAGCGAGAGAGCGUUGCCGCAGGCAACGACCCGAAGGGCGAAGCGCGCAGCGCUGAGUAAUCCUUCCCCCACCACCA
This 119-nucleotide small RNA is filed under the name Escherichia coli. Its description in RNAcentral is "partial RtT sRNA". It matches the Rfam family "RtT RNA". Rfam says of the family: This family represents a bacterial cis-regulatory element known as RtT RNA. The record is from RNAcentral. Lineage: Bacteria; Pseudomonadati; Pseudomonadota; Gammaproteobacteria; Enterobacterales; Enterobacteriaceae.